AAUGGGCUGAUAUGGAAAACAUUUCCUCCAUUUUAGAAAGGAUAUCUCAGAAUUACACAGUAUAAAGGAAGGACGCAGAGAAGACCAACAUGAAGGGAAUAUAUUCACUCUGCUUGGAUAUAAGCUAUGAAAAUGAGUGAUUUUAUUAUUUUUUUUUAUAAAAAACUUUGGCAUCAGGAUAACUAGUAAAUGGGAAUGGAACACUGUUCACAUCCAACUUACAGACACCGGCUUGUCAGAAAAGAUUUCCAUUCAGUGUCAAGAUGAUCCUUGGGGAUAUAAUCGUGAGAUUGUAUACGAAACAGUUGGUUAUACCACCGGCUGCACCCCAGAUUUGAUGGGUUAUGCUAGAUACCUGUCAAGGCAAGGACUCAUUCAUGCAGAGAAUCUGCGAAAUGCUCAAACACCUUGUCCAAUGCUGCAUGUGAGAGUUGUUGUAGAGUCUCACAUCCAUGUUCACAAGCAGCACCCCAAAAAGAAGAGACCUGGGAGAAGAGGGAGGAAUGCUGGCCAUUAGAAGUCUAGUUUGGGAGUUAAUUGCGUUGCGUAAUCCAUUGGUACUAUUUAACUGGGAUCCUUUGUUGUGAUUAGAUCAAGAAAGAUGUAAAAUUGAGUUUACCCUGUUGAAAAGGCUCCAAGUAAUGGUCUUUACAAUGGUAUUAUAGGCUAUCAUCCUUGGUUGUUCAUGUUCAUUGUUUAUAAUUAAAAAUCAAAUAAAAAGCCUGAGAACUGUUCUAA
Non-coding RNA from Danio rerio (zebrafish), 738 nucleotides. The record is from RefSeq and is a predicted model, not a curated record. NCBI's taxonomy places the organism in Eukaryota, Metazoa, Chordata, Actinopteri, Cypriniformes, Danionidae.